Molecule: non-coding RNA, 46 nt
Filed under: Schistosoma curassoni
Lineage: Eukaryota; Metazoa; Platyhelminthes; Trematoda; Strigeidida; Schistosomatidae
Source: RNAcentral
GCACAGCUGACGAGUUUCACAGUAGGACGAAACGGCCGUCCAGUGC